UACGUAGGGGGCGAGCGUUGUCCGGAUUUAUUGGGCGUAAAGCGCUCGUAGGCGGUUUGGUAAGUCGGGUGUGAAAUCUCCACGCUCAACGUGGAGGGGCCACUCGAUACUGCCAUGACUCGAGUCCGGUAGAGGAGUGUGGAAUUCCCGGUGUAGCGGUGAAAUGCGCAGAUAUCAGGAGGAACACCGGUGGCGAAGGCGGUACUCUGGGCAUUACCUGACGCUGAGGAGCGAAAGUGUGGGGAGCGAACAGG
RNAcentral lists this ribosomal RNA (254 nucleotides) under uncultured bacterium. Its description in RNAcentral is "partial 16S ribosomal RNA". It matches the Rfam family "Bacterial small subunit ribosomal RNA", at positions 524 to 776 of the family's 1533-position model. The record is from RNAcentral.